Ictidomys tridecemlineatus (thirteen-lined ground squirrel) is the source of this 2444-nucleotide non-coding RNA. Lineage: Eukaryota; Metazoa; Chordata; Mammalia; Rodentia; Sciuridae. The record is from RefSeq and is a predicted model, not a curated record.
GGCACAGACACACCCCUUGUCCCCAGCCUGCAGUGGCUUCCUCCUCUCUUGGAAGAGCAGCCUCGAUUUCCAAACAGAAUGGCCUAGAAUGUCCUCUGCUCCACACCCCAAAGAAGGUCUCCAUGAGGGUGAUGGUGAAGAGGGGUGGGCAAUUCAUUGUGCACCUACCGCACCAGGACUGUCCUGCCAUGCUCCGAGGUCUGGAUCCAGGGGCCUCCUCCCUUGACUGUGAGCGAGUAGGCGGGAAGAACCUGGGUGACCUGGUUCACGCUAUGUGUCUUCAGGCAAGCGGCUUGGCCUCUCUGACCAUGCAUGAAUGGCUCUUUGGGAUGUUAUAGAAUGGCUCCUGCCUCUGGUGCUCUUCUGAGAGAAUGGAUGUGAACCGAAGGUGUCUUGCCAACUGGAAGGCCUUGUGCUCGUGCGCUUUCCUUUGGGAGUGUAUAAACACGUGUGCUUGCCAGCACCCGUUUUCCUUGGCUCUAGGAGCCCAGCACCUGUGGGACUCCGGAACUGGUCCCAAAUUCCACCCAAUCCACAACUCCUCCCACCAGACAUGUGGGGAGGAAACCAUAUGGCUCUUAUAUCCUGACUGGGUUUGGUUUUGCCCCGAGACAAUACAUCCUGCAAGUUUCUCUGCUUGGAACUUAUUUUCCAAGCCUCAGGCUAGAACAGAUUUCAUCUCAAGGAGGGCAGAGGAGGCUGGGAACGUCCUCAGCCCGGGCACAGGUCUGGCUCGAGUGAAGAGCACCUGGGCCUGGCCCACAUGGGGGAGAGAGAGCCCGAUGACGGAGGACUGACAGGCCACUGCUGUCAUGAGUGAUGUCAUCCCCCUGGGCCUGCCCUCCUAGUGCCACCCAGGGAAACACCCCCUGGACUCAAAGCGCUGGACACUGGUGUUCAAGCACUGGCCUCACAGCGGCCCCCAGUACAAAGCACCCUCCAAAUUCAACCCCUGCCAACAUUGUCCAGCCCCACUCCAUCAGUCAGCUCAGCCACCUGGCUCUCAGAAUCUCCAAUGUCACCUGGUGCAACCCAUCUCAGCACCCCUGAGCACUGCCAGUCCCACCCAGGCCAGCCUCACCCUUCCGACCCAUCCCUCCCUUUCUGCUUGGCUUGUAGGGACAGAUGUUAUAGAUUUGGGCCUCUUCCCUUCCCUCUUUCUAGAGUGUCUUUGUGUCUCACUAAAAAGCCAACACUGAAUUUCCCAGACUGGCCUAUCAAGAGAGCUAGGGAUCUGAUGUGGAUUCUGCCAAGAGCUGUCUAUUCACGCAGAAGUGAACCAAGUGUGUGUGUGUGUGGGGGAGGGGAGGUGCAGAGAGUGGGGGAAGGAGGCAUCCAUUUAAAACAUUUAUAGAGACAAACAUAUGCAAACUUAGAGUAUAGAGUACCUCUAUGUCCCCCCCAACCCUGCUUCCCAGUUAUGACCAUCUCCCCAAUUUUGUAUGAUCUAUUCAAAGAAUUUCCUCACCACAUGUUUUUGGCUGGAGACGAAGCCUGUCAGUGCCUCCACACCGAGGUGUGCGUUCAGCUGGUGUGGACAUGCGAUGAGCCUGGCUCUGGAGCCAGAAGCUGGAGCGGCGGCUUCCUGAUUUGGCAGAUGGCUUCCUGAUGGUUUGCAAAAGGAGAGGCCGCCUUGGUGGUCCAGUUCUGCAGUCAGCUUGGGGAGUUUGUCCUGAAGAUGCAGCCUAGAAUCUGUUUCUUCAGCUUUCCAAAUAUUUCUUGUCCCUACAGUGAUUUCUGGGUAUUCAAGACACCCAGGGACACGCUCCACACCGUCCCAGCUCUGCCUGCCUAGAGACUGCCCCCGGAACCUCUGCUGCUACACAGCCUAUUCGUUAGCAGGUGGGAUAUCUCUAAUCGGAAUCUAAAGAUGUCCUGCCCUGAUCUCGGGAACUCCUGAAGAUACUGAGACAUGGCUCCUGUGAUUGUGUUAUAUGGAACACUUCACUGUAAGUCAGGGAUAUUAUCUUGGAUUAUCUGGGUGGUCCCAGAGUAAUCACAUGAGCCCUUAAAAUGCAGCAAGCUUUCUCCAGCUGCCAGCAGAGCAGAAAGUCAGAGACACACAUAGGGAAACUUAGAGGUACUUGAAGUGUGACAAUGACUUGCCACACGGUUGCUGGCUUUGAAAAUGGAGGCAACAUGUGCGAAGGCAUGUGUGUGGCCCCGGGAAACUGUCAGUCGGCAAGAAUCAGGGAACGCAGAUCUACAACUGCAAGGGGCUGGAUUUUGCCCACCCUCUGGACGAGAUUGGAAGUGCCUUCUUCCCAGCACCGCCCAGAAGACUCCAGCCAGCACCUUGACUGGGUCUGUAAGACCCGAGCAGAGGACUCAGAUAGCCCAUCUGGAUUUCUGGGCUACAGAACUGUGAGAUAAUGAAUGAAUGUUUCUGUAAACUGCCGACUUCAUGGUGAUUUGUUAAGUAGCAAUAAAACAAAAAUGCCUCA